UCCAUGAGGUAAAGGUGCUGAAUCGGC
RNAcentral lists this non-coding RNA (27 nucleotides) under Bombyx mori (domestic silkworm). Lineage: Eukaryota; Metazoa; Arthropoda; Insecta; Lepidoptera; Bombycidae. The record is from RNAcentral.